RNAcentral lists this ribosomal RNA (441 nucleotides) under uncultured bacterium. Its description in RNAcentral is "bacterial SSU rRNA". It matches the Rfam family "Bacterial small subunit ribosomal RNA", at positions 339 to 796 of the family's 1533-position model. The record is from RNAcentral.
CUACGGGAGGCAGCAGUGGGGAAUCUUGCGCAAUGGACGAAAGUCUGACGCAGCGACGCCGCGUGCGGGAUGACGGCCCUAGGGUUGUAAACCGCUUUCAGCAGGGACGAAAUUGACGGUACCUGCAGAAGAAGCCCCGGCCAACUACGUGCCAGCAGCCGCGGUAAUACGUAGGGGGCUAGCGUUGUCCGGAUUUAUUGGGCGUAAAGAGCUCGUAGGCGGUUUGGUAAGUCGGGUGUGAAAACUCCAGGCUCAACCUGGAGAGGCCACCCGAUACUGCCCUGACUCGAGUCCGGCAGAGGAGUGUGGAAUUCCCAGUGUAGCGGUGAAAUGCGCAGAUAUUGGGAGGAACACCGGUAGCGAAGGCGGCACUCUGGGCCGGUACUGACGCUGAGGAGCGAAAGCGUGGGGAGCAAACAGGAUUAGAAACCCCGGUAGUCC